Molecule: ribosomal RNA, 788 nt
Filed under: uncultured archaeon
Lineage: Archaea
Description: bacterial SSU rRNA
Rfam family: Archaeal small subunit ribosomal RNA
Source: RNAcentral
ACUGCUCAGUAACACGUGGACAACCUACCCUGAAGAGGGGGAUAACCCCGGGAAACUGGGGAUAAUACCCCAUAGGCUAUGGAUGCUGGAAUGCUCUGUAGUUGAAAGGUCCGCCGCUUCAGGAUGGGUCUGCGGCCGAUUAGGUUGUUGUUGGGGUAACGGCCCAACAAGCCUGUAAUCGGUACGGGUUGUGGGAGCAAGAGCCCGGAGAUGGAUUCUGAGACACGAAUCCAGGCCCUACGGGGCGCAGCAGGCGCGAAAACUUUGCAAUGCGAGCAAUCGUGACAAGGGAACUCCGAGUGCCUGUAAAAUCAGGCUGUCCGCCAGUGUAAAUAACUGGCGAAGAAAGGGCCGGGCAAGACCGGUGCCAGCCGCCGCGGUAAUACCGGCGGCUCGAGUGGUGGCCACUAUUACUGGGCUUAAAGCGUUCGUAGCUGGCUUGUUAAGUCUCUGGGGAAAUCUUCCGGCUUAACCGGAAGGCGUCUCAGGGAUACUGGCAGGCUAGGGACCGGAAGAGGUGAGAGGUACUCCAGGGGUAGGAGUGAAAUCCUGUAAUCCUUGGGGGACCACCUGUGGCGAAGGCGUCUCACCAGAACGGCUCCGACAGUGAGGAACGAAAGCUGGGGGAGCAAACCGGAUUAGAUACCCGGGUAGUCCCAGCUGUAAACGAUGCGCGUUAGGUGUAUCGGUGACCACGAGUCACCGAGGUGCCGAAGAGAAAUCGUGAAACGUGCCGCCUGGAAGUACGGUCGCAAGGCUGAAACUUAAAGGAAUUGGCGGGGGAGCAC